Molecule: ribosomal RNA, 483 nt
Filed under: uncultured bacterium
Lineage: Bacteria
Description: bacterial SSU rRNA
Rfam family: Bacterial small subunit ribosomal RNA
Source: RNAcentral
GAACGCUGGCGGCAUGCCUUACACAUGCAAGUCGAACGGCAGCGCGGACUUCGGUCUGGCGGCGAGUGGCGAACGGGUGAGUAAUGUAUCGGAACGUACCAUUCAGUGGGGGAUAACGCAGCGAAAGUUGCGCUAAUACCGCAUAUUCUGUGCGCAGGAAAGCAGGGGAUCGCAAGACCUUGCGCUGAUUGAGCGGCCGAUAUCAGAUUAGCUAGUUGGUGAGGUAAAGGCUCACCAAGGCGACGAUCUGUAGCGGGUCUGAGAGGAUGAUCCGCCACACUGGAACUGAGACACGGUCCAGACUCCUACGGGAGGCAGCAGUGGGGAAUUUUGGACAAUGGGCGCAAGCCUGAUCCAGCCAUGCCGCGUGCAGGAAGAAGGCCUUCGGGUUGUAAACUGCUUUAGUCUAGGAAAAAAGGGGUGCGAGGUUAAUACCCUCGUGCUUUGAUGGUACUGGAAGAAUAAGCACCGGCUAACUACGUG